GUAGACAUACCACCCCAACUGCAUCCAAUUUCAAUUGGUCUUAGAGCUAAGUGGGCCAGGGCCUGGCUGGUACUUGGAUUGGAGACCCCUUGGAAUGCCAUGCACUGUAGAUA
RNAcentral lists this ribosomal RNA (113 nucleotides) under Crocodylus porosus (Australian saltwater crocodile). Lineage: Eukaryota; Metazoa; Chordata; Crocodylia; Crocodylidae. The record is from RNAcentral.